Molecule: ribosomal RNA, 317 nt
Filed under: uncultured bacterium
Lineage: Bacteria
Description: bacterial SSU rRNA
Rfam family: Bacterial small subunit ribosomal RNA
Source: RNAcentral
GACGAACGCUGGCGGCAUGCCUAACACAUGCAAGUCGAACGGAGAUUAUUUCGGUAAUCUUAGUGGCGAACGGGUGAGUAACGCGUAGGCAACCUGCCCUUUAGUUGGGGACAACAUUCCGAAAGGGGUGCUAAUACCGAAUGUGACAGUUUUUCCGCAUGGGAUUACUGUGAAAGAUGGCCUCUAUUUAUAAGCUAUCGCUAAAGGAUGGGCCUGCGUCUGAUUAGUUAGUUGGUAGGGUAACGGCCUACCAAGACGAUGAUCAGUAGCUGGACUGAGAGGUUGAACGGCCACAUUGGGACUGAGAUACGGCCCAG